This 500-nucleotide ribosomal RNA is filed under the name uncultured bacterium. Its description in RNAcentral is "partial 16S ribosomal RNA". It matches the Rfam family "Bacterial small subunit ribosomal RNA", at positions 28 to 523 of the family's 1533-position model. The record is from RNAcentral.
GACGAACGCUGGCGGCGUGCCUAAUACAUGCAAGUCGAGCGGACCUCUUCGGAGGUCAGCGGCGGACGGGUGAGUAACACGUGGGCAACCUGCCUGUAAGACUGGGAUAACUCCGGGAAACCGGAGCUAAUACCUGAUACUAUGUCAAACCGCAUGGUUUGACAUUCAAAGACGGUUUCGGCUGUCACUUACAGAUGGGCCCGCGGCGCAUUAGCUAGUUGGUGAGGUAAUGGCUCACCAAGGCGACGAUGCGUAGCCGACCUGAGAGGGUGAUCGGCCACACUGGGACUGAGACACGGCCCAGACUCCUACGGGAGGCAGCAGUAGGGAAUCUUCCGCAAUGGACGAAAGUCUGACGGAGCAACGCCGCGUGAGUGAUGAAGGUUUUCGGAUCGUAAAACUCUGUUGUCAGGGAAGAACAAGUGCCGGAGUAACUGCCGGCACCUUGACGGUACCUGACCAGAAAGCCACGGCUAACUACAUGCCAGCCGCCGCAGUAA